UUCUAAGGAGGAAAUACGACUAAUCUCUGCCGCUUGCGCCCGGGUGCUCUCCGCCACGAGCCUUGGUGACAUGCUCUGCUCGCUGAAGGUUCGAGCAUUCCUUGCCAGCUAUAUCUGGUAUGCUGUGCAGGUCGCUCUAACCGCCUCUUGGCGUGUCAAUGGGUUGCCCGACCACCAACGGACGGUCCGUAAGAACUGGUCCCCUUGAGACCAACCCUCCCGUAGCAACCAUGCCGCCCUCGCCCAUGUGCAUUGAAAUAGUGCAUGGUUCACCGACUCAUUGGCUUUGCAUGCCCUGCACUCAGGGGGCAUCCUCAAUCCCCGUUCGCUAAG
RNAcentral lists this long non-coding RNA (333 nucleotides) under Phoenix dactylifera (date palm). Its description in RNAcentral is "long non-coding RNA (PDAC_LNC018853)". The record is from RNAcentral. Lineage: Eukaryota; Viridiplantae; Streptophyta; Magnoliopsida; Arecales; Arecaceae.